UACAGAGGUCUCAACCGUUGUUCGGAUUCAUUGGGCGUAAAGGGUGCGUAGGCGGUCGCGUAAGUCAGGUGUGAAAUCCCGGGGCUCAACCCCGGAACUGCACUUGAUACUGCGUGGCUAGGGUACUGGAGAGGAGACUGGAAUUUACGGUGUAGCAGUGAAAUGCGUAGAUAUCGUAAGGAAGACCAGUGGCGAAGGCGAGUCUCUGGGAUGAUGCUGACGCUGAGGCGCGAAAGCCAGGGGAGCAAACGGG
This 253-nucleotide ribosomal RNA is filed under the name uncultured bacterium. Its description in RNAcentral is "partial 16S ribosomal RNA". It matches the Rfam family "Bacterial small subunit ribosomal RNA", at positions 524 to 776 of the family's 1533-position model. The record is from RNAcentral.